GUAAAUCCUUGCCUCUCACUGU
RNAcentral lists this microRNA (22 nucleotides) under Monodelphis domestica (gray short-tailed opossum). RNAcentral describes it as "mdo-miR-7398k-2-3p". The record is from miRBase by way of RNAcentral. Lineage: Eukaryota; Metazoa; Chordata; Mammalia; Didelphimorphia; Didelphidae.